Molecule: long non-coding RNA, 1108 nt
Organism: Rosa rugosa (rugosa rose)
Lineage: Eukaryota; Viridiplantae; Streptophyta; Magnoliopsida; Rosales; Rosaceae
Exons: 2
Source: RefSeq, a predicted model, not a curated record
CCUCACUCUCGGCCGCGUUCUCUCUCUCCCCGACUUCUCCUUCUCGCACACUCUCCCUUCUUCCCUCUGCAACCACCGGAAAACACCGGUUCCGGCCACCACCUCCUGGCAUCGCCUCCACCCUUCGAACCAGCAUCCAAAUCCGACCCAAGCCCGAGCCUCAUCACCCACCUGCACUGCCUCCGGCCCCCAAACCGCGACACCACUGCUUUCCUUAAUCCUCCGAUUUCCAGUCGCCGAUUCACGCCACCAAUGCCAGAAAUUGAAGCACCAAACCCUAGAGAGCAAAACCCGAACCAUAGCCUCAAACUCCGACCACCGAAAAAUGCCAUGCAAGCUCGCCGGAACUCGAGGUUCUGCAUGUCUCCAUUCUCCGAUCUCCAGCUCGAAUCGAGCUUCAACACUUCCAUAAACGGAGUCAGAGCUACACUAUCCUUCGAAACCCCUAAUCCAGACCUUUGACUCCAACCAGAGCCGCCGCACACCGCCGUAGCUCCGCCGUGUACAUCGCCGAUAUAUCCAAUCUUUCUGGUAAGCCAACCUGAGGCCCCCUUUCCUUGUCCCAUUGAGUUUCCAAUUUCGAAAUAAUGGGUCUCUGAUGCUUUGUUCUUCGAUUGGGGAUAUUUGAACAUUGGGUACGGAGGAGACGGAGAAGUACAGAUUAGAAGGAAAGGCUACUGGUCUUGAGUUCGAAUGUGUUCUUAAAGGAAUGAUGAAGAGAUGAUGGCGACUGCAAGAUGCAGCACGUAGUGAAGGAUGUGGUCUCGGCAGAAUGGGUAAGGAACACAGGCUUUCGAAUUUUGAAUUUGACUGUUGUUGGGACAUUGAGGUUAAUUAAUUAAGGAUGUUGUUUUAUGGAGGAAAUGAGGUCUGCGGAACUGCAAGCUUUCGGAGAAGGGAAGUGCUGGGUCAGUUCCAUUUGUAUUGAGGAAUUGGGAAUCUGAAUGGAUUGAUGGUGGUGGAAAAAGCAGCUGGCUUGAAUCGAAUCCAUGUUUGGAAAAGAAGAAAUGGUAAGGGUCUGGGUUUUGAAUCUAUUGUUGGUGAAACUGUGGUGGUUGUAAUCUGUUGUUUGUAGCCUCAUGAAUGGGAAAGUGUUAAAAUGGUGAUA